UAGGGAAUCUUCGGCAAUGGGGGGAACCCUGACCGAGCAACGCCGCGUGAGUGAAGAAGGUUUUCGGAUCGUAAAGCUCUGUUGUUAAGGAAGAACGAGUGUGAGAAUGGAAAGUUCAUACUGUGACGGUACUUAACCAGAAAGGGACGGCUAACUACGUGCCAGCAGCCGCGGUAAUACGUAGGUCCCGAGCGUUGUCCGGAUUUAUUGGGCGUAAAGCGAGCGCAGGCGGUUAGAUAAGUCUGAAGUUAAAGGCAGUGGCUCAACCAUUGUAGGCUUUGGAAACUGUUUAACUUGAGUGCAGAAGGGGGGAGUGGAAUUCCAUGUGUAGCGGUGAAAUGCGUAGAUAUAUGGAGGAACACCGGUGGCGAAAGCGGCUCUCUGAUCUGUAACUGACGCUGAGGCUAGAAAGCGUGGGGAGCGAACAGG
RNAcentral lists this ribosomal RNA (429 nucleotides) under Bacteroidota bacterium. RNAcentral's name for it is "Bacteroidetes bacterium partial 16S ribosomal RNA". It matches the Rfam family "Bacterial small subunit ribosomal RNA", at positions 355 to 776 of the family's 1533-position model. The record is from RNAcentral. Lineage: Bacteria; Pseudomonadati; Bacteroidota.